AGAUUGAACGCUGGCGGCAUGCUUUACACAUGCAAGUCGAACGGCAGCGCGGGGCAACCUGGCGGCGAGUGGCGAACGGGUGAGUAAUAUAUCGGAACGUACCCAAGAGUGGGGGAUAACGUAGCGAAAGUUACGCUAAUACCGCAUACGAUCUAAGGAUGAAAGCAGGGGACCGCAAGGCCUUGUGCUCCUGGAGCGGCCGAUAUCUGAUUAGCUAGUUGGUAGGGUAAAGGCCUACCAAGGCUACGAUCAGUAGCUGGUCUGAGAGGACGACCAGCCACACUGGAACUGAGACACGGUCCAGACUCCUACGGGAGCAGCAGUGGGAAUUUUGGACAAGUGGCGCAAGCCUGAUCCAGCAAUGCCGCGUGAGUGAAGAAGGCCUUCGGUUGAAGGCUCUUUGUCGAGGAGAAACGGUGGAGCGUAAUAGUCUACCUACUAAGUGACGGUACUGAAGAAGUAAGCGACCGGACUAACUACGU
RNAcentral lists this ribosomal RNA (482 nucleotides) under uncultured soil bacterium. Its description in RNAcentral is "bacterial SSU rRNA". It matches the Rfam family "Bacterial small subunit ribosomal RNA", at positions 26 to 506 of the family's 1533-position model. The record is from RNAcentral.